Molecule: long non-coding RNA, 418 nt
Organism: Capra hircus (goat)
Lineage: Eukaryota; Metazoa; Chordata; Mammalia; Artiodactyla; Bovidae
Exons: 2
Source: RefSeq, a predicted model, not a curated record
ACUGACUUGACUUCGGAGAGCAUCUCGGAGCUUUGGCUCUCCUGUGAUGUCAUCACUUCUGAUCCUUGACACGGAGGCCAUAUAUGGAAUGUGUACUGGACCUCCCUCUCUUUCUUGGUGCCUCUGUGCACGUGCACGUGUUGGAUGAGAGGCAGUUAGCACUCUGAAAACAGCUCAGGCCCACCCACCAGGGUGCUGGUCUUGGCCCUUCUGGAAAGUUCUCUGUGACCUCAUGCAGACCUUUCCUCUCUCUGGAGCCCUGAGGAAAGAAGAACAGCGCUGCCCCAUGAGCUGGUAGGAACCCAGGCCCCUCCAGACUCCAAGAGCCUCUGAAACCAGAAGGAGCAGCCAUAAGCGGCUGCACCCACAUCUCUUUGCUCUCUGAGAAUAAAAAUCCUAAGUCGGUUGGAAUUCAAAA